Molecule: long non-coding RNA, 770 nt
Filed under: Danio rerio (zebrafish)
Lineage: Eukaryota; Metazoa; Chordata; Actinopteri; Cypriniformes; Danionidae
Description: lncRNA (ENSDARG00000092422.2)
Source: RNAcentral
GUGUGGGGGUUCAGUUUGCUAGCGCUAACUUAGCUAAAGUUAGCUCACCUAAGUUAUAGCAGCACAUUAAGGAUGGAUAUUAAAUGCAGAAACUUAUGCAACAGUUAAGUAGUUUGUGUUUAACGUAAGAGAAAGUAUAACUUAAAGUUUGUGUUUUAGAGAUUUAGUCCAUAAGUUUUUUAAUGCUGCAUAGUGAAUAAAUUACAGAUUUACAAUUUAUUUUAACUUAAAUUACAUUUACUACUGAUGUUUACAGAACCAUUUAAACUGUAUGCACCUCAUUCUAAAAUGCAUUUUCUUGGUCUUCAGAUACCAAAGUGAUUUUGUUACCUGUGGAUCUUCAAACUUCACAUCCAGAGUUGUGAGGAAUCAGAGGUGCAUGCGGCUGCCCACGGGAAAAAUUUGCCAUCAGCCCAACACAGUUUGGAUUAUCAUAGGACUGUCAGAGGUUUGCCAAACCUGUCAAAUGCAUGAUGGCUCCUGUUUGGACUUACCGAUGUCCUCGACUUCAAGUAUCCAUCAAAACUGUAUACAUUUGAGAUAUAUUAGAGACUCUUUGUGGGACUGGACAUUAUGCAUCCUAAAUCUUCAUCAAAAUAUGCAAAUCUCCUCACUGAGUUGCCUUGGAUGAUUUCUCAAUAGGAUCUGGUAUUAUUAAUGUUUUUAUUUAUGUAUUGUGUAUGUGUAGCCACAUUAAUGGCCUAUUUUGUAGUCACUAUUAAAAGGAACAUCGAUUGAUAUUGAAUACAUGUUAUGGUCUUUAAUCCAUC